AUGCCGUGGUGGGGACACGCUGCAAUGUACUCUUGAAGGCGUUCCCAUGCUUCCAGUAUGGAUUCAUCGUUCUGCUGCUGGAAGCUUGAAAUCUUGUUCCGAAGGGC
This 107-nucleotide small nucleolar RNA is filed under the name Setaria italica (foxtail millet). Its description in RNAcentral is "Plant small nucleolar RNA R71". It matches the Rfam family "Plant small nucleolar RNA R71". From Rfam's summary of the family: R71 is a member of the C/D box family of snoRNAs containing the C (UGAUGA) and D (CUGA) box motifs. Multiple nearly identical copies of this snoRNA have been identified in Arabidopsis, and it is thought to function as a 2'-O-ribose methylation guide for 18S ribosomal RNA. RNAcentral also lists the same sequence under 1 other name. Lineage: Eukaryota; Viridiplantae; Streptophyta; Magnoliopsida; Poales; Poaceae. The record is from Rfam by way of RNAcentral.